Molecule: long non-coding RNA, 1830 nt
Organism: Anguilla rostrata (American eel)
Lineage: Eukaryota; Metazoa; Chordata; Actinopteri; Anguilliformes; Anguillidae
Exons: 4
Source: RefSeq, a predicted model, not a curated record
CGAGGGCGAGCACCUGCCCCUGUUGCCCAAAGUGCCUGAUGUGCCCCUUUGAUUUGAUAAAGGAACAAAUUAAUAUUUGUAUUAUUAUUGCUGCUGCCACUGAUUUUCAUUCAUUCAUUUUGGUAAAAAUGUAUUCUGUACAAUAACUGGGUGCCAUAAAAUCAGUUUUUCUGUGUGGGUGCACCACUUGCCCCUCAAAAGGUUGCUACACAGCACUGUAUUCAAAUACUAUUUUUUUUUUCUUUCUUUCAAAUGCAUAAAAAAAGCAGUGCGUGCUCACCGUAUUUAGUGAAGUGUUUAAUUCUGUUGGGUGUCAGUGUCCAUUGAAAGUGUUUUACAUACAGUGCAGUUAUUUUCAUCGAUGUACCUUUUUUACCCACCUCAGUGCCUCCUGACCUGCGGCCUACCAGCAGGCCUUGCCCGUAACUUUGGAACCUCUGAGGUAUGUAUGCAAUAAAAUGUUAGAAACUGUGCAUAUAGUACAUAAACAUUGUUUCCUCUGUUAAAAAAGCUUUGCAGUGGCACGUUUUAUACAUUAAGACAGAAAUAUUUUUCCAUUUUAAAAAUAAGAAAACAUAUCUUAAUAUAUUCUAGUUGACAGUGGGAAAUACAGGAAUCCACAUGGAGGGAUGAUCUCUUUCACGAUUUCACGCAGACUGCUGCUCUUAAUUUAAUAAGACAAAUCCAGUGACAUCAUGCCCAUUCGCUUUGUAAUUGUGGGGUACACGUCCUUCUCGUUUCUGUGGCAAAUUUAUCCACUUACAUUGAGAAAAGUGCAUUUUUUUAAAAUAAAUUUGAGGUGUUGCAUUACAAAUUGUUUUUUGUUUGUCAUCAGGGUUAAAGUGGACAUAAUGAAAUGCACACAUUUCAAUGUUUUGCAUGGGUUGUAGACUGUGUUGUGGUAGUUGUAACAUAGUGGGAUUUGUGAAUUUGAUAAGAGGUUUUAGGUGUAGUUGAGAUUUUACAAAUUUGGGUUUAACUGUAGAAACGGGCGAAUAUGAACCCCAGUUUUUCUACUUAGAAAACUGACUUUGAGUCAACCAAUAAUCUUUUACCGGCUAUUUAAAUAUCCCCACCCCUCUGCUCACAUGGGACCGCCCACUUUUACCUGAAAAACUGAGCAAUGACUACGAAGUAGUGUGCAGGGUGUAAAGUUUUCGAUUGUAUGUUUAAAAACAAAUCUUUACACCGAUCCCUGAAGAUCCAGCGGUAAAAAUAAACGGGCACACUUUAUUUCUGCUGUAAAACCCCUCCUGUUUAGCUUAGCAAAAAAGUACUUGUUUUUGAGCAAUGAGGUGGAGUAAAACAACGCAGGUUUUGCCUCCCAAGUUAAGAGGCCUACUAAAAUCAAACGCAGGCCGUCCCAGCUAGAACAAGAUUCGCCUGCAAACGUCCAGUCUGUGUGAGAUGCGGUGGCCUUCGAAGCGGGCGUCUCUGGAGCGCCUGCGUGCCCCGUGUUCCCGCCGACGCCCCGCCCCCUCGCCCGCCAUCUCGCCCGCCCGCUCGCCGCAGUGCUUCCUCUUCUCCCUGCGCUUGUGAGGACCGUUUCCAUGGGGACGCGCGGCGCCUGGAGCCGAACCCGUCGCCGCGGGAACCGAUUCCGGGUACGGCUGCGAUCACAGAUCGAUGGUUCCAUAACAAGAGAAUGAGGGAUUAUGGGAAACCGGCCCCACGCCUGUCCCACUGCUUCACGUAUCCAUGACGAUUUCACAAAAAGCUCAUCGCAUAAGCUCAGGCCUUUUACCAUGGCGUGAAGUGACAAAAAGAGAAGGCGUCUCUGCGUUUCGUCCGCUCUUCCAGAGCACAUGCCCGCUCAUAUGUGGGAAAAGG